Molecule: non-coding RNA, 73 nt
Organism: Phthorimaea operculella (potato tuberworm)
Lineage: Eukaryota; Metazoa; Arthropoda; Insecta; Lepidoptera; Gelechiidae
Source: the annotation of a GenBank genome assembly
CAGCCUAUAGCCGAUGUGGUAGUGCGUCUGCCUGCGACGUAUAAAGUUCCGAGUUUGAUUCUCGGUGGGUUGA